GAUGAACGCUGGCGGCGUGCCUAAUACAUGCAAGUCGAGCGAACAGACGAGGAGCUUUCUCCUCUGACGGUAGCGGCGGACGGGUGAGUAACACGUGGAUAACCUCCCUAAUAGACUGGGAUAACUGCGGGAAACCGGAGCUAAUACCGGAUAAUAUAUUGAACCGCAUGGUUCAAUAGUGAAAGACGGUUUUGCUGUCACUUAUAGAUGGAUCCGCGGCGCAUUAGCUAGUUGGGAAGGGAACGGCUUACCAAGGCGACGAUGGUUACCCGACCGGAGAGGGAAACCGGCCCAAACGGAAAUGACACCCGCUCCAGACCCUAACGGGGGGAAGCAGCACGGAAGGUUCCGACUGGGGCGAAAGACUGCCGGAGGAACGCCGGGGGAGUAACGAAGGGAUUCGGAUCGUAAAACUCUGUUAUUAGGGAAGACAAAAUGUGUAAGUAACUAUGAACGUAUGGACGGCACCAAAUCAGAAAGCCACGGCUAAAUCCGA
Molecule: ribosomal RNA, 496 nt
Filed under: uncultured bacterium
Lineage: Bacteria
Description: partial 16S ribosomal RNA
Rfam family: Bacterial small subunit ribosomal RNA
Source: RNAcentral